CAUCCUAAAUUCUAUGUGACAUUAGUAAUUUUCAAUACUAUUUAGGGCAGAUAGGGUGGAUAGUAUGCACAUUGGGAUGCAGGGUAAGUCAAGGGGAGCACAAGGAUGAAAACCACAUGACAAGACAGGACACAGAUACUCUUGCCGGACUGCUUCUGAACCGCAGCUGUGGAAGCAGCACAAACCCAAGGAUCCACUGAUAAAUAAAUUUCUCCAAAUCUGUUCUCAUAAGGAAACAAACUCAUCUACAUCUUGGAUGGCCUGAGGGCUUUCAUCAGAUCCAAAUAGGAAAACAGAGAUCAUUUGGAAACAAUGCGGCUGAGCUGAAAAUACAACAAAGGGAAAUAAGACUUCUUUUGCUCUGGUGAUUUUACAAGUCAGGCACAUAGCCAAAGAAAUAAUCUAGGUUAAAUCCUAACAGGAAUCCUGUUUUUUACACCUGCUCAAAGCUGAGCAUGUUCAGGGUUAAUGGAUUUUGUCUGAUGGGAUCUUCAUAUCGCUGAAGGGGCCGAGACCGCCGAGACCUGUGCAGACGUGACACAUUUUAAAAAUGGAUAGAGCUGAAAAUGGGACAGUUAUGGUGAUUUAUUGUCAUUCGGACGAAACCAUACGAAUGUCUUGUUUAAAUGAU
Molecule: long non-coding RNA, 631 nt
Organism: Onychostoma macrolepis
Lineage: Eukaryota; Metazoa; Chordata; Actinopteri; Cypriniformes; Cyprinidae
Exons: 5
Source: RefSeq, a predicted model, not a curated record